GGCAAGGUCCUUUUAUAUGUAAAUCUUAUUUUGCCACUAACUAUUGUAAAGCUUUAUAGAAGCUAAAAAUUUAAAAACUCGAGUCAGAUAGAGGCAAAUACAGAGCUGUAUUUUCAGUCUCUGUAGAAACUUUGAAAUUAGGUGACCAGCUCUACUCAGUGCUGAGAUUACUCAUUAUGCUGUCAGUGUAUAAUUAUCAGUCUACUAUUUGUAAUUUCUCUGGGCCAAAGUAUCCUAUUUGCUAUUGAAUACUACUUAAAAGAACAUCAUUGAUCUACGCCACACGUUAUGAGUUUAAAAGUCUUCUCAUCAGAGGAUAUUACACCCUUACAAAUAAA
RNAcentral lists this long non-coding RNA (338 nucleotides) under Bos taurus (domestic cattle). Its description in RNAcentral is "long non-coding RNA NONBTAT011500". The record is from RNAcentral. Lineage: Eukaryota; Metazoa; Chordata; Mammalia; Artiodactyla; Bovidae.